Molecule: long non-coding RNA, 412 nt
Filed under: Physcomitrium patens
Lineage: Eukaryota; Viridiplantae; Streptophyta; Bryopsida; Funariales; Funariaceae
Description: long non-coding RNA (PPAT_LNC014876)
Source: RNAcentral
UUUAAUGGCAAUAUUAACGUCUUUUUGAUACAUAUGUUUGGAACUAAAAGACAAGCACAUUCAUGUGGUAUGUUUUAAUCUUUGUAUUGAGCAAGAAAAAAAUUGAUAAUAUUAAGAAGCAUUAAGCAUAUAUUAUAGAGAGUUUAAUCAUAAUUUUCAAUAUUAUCUAAAGAAGAGACUUAACCAUAAAAUAAAAACAUGGUUGUAAAAAAAAUAAUAAUAUGUCAAAAAAUAAGUUUAUCAAGCUAUAAUUGAGACCAUAUAAUUAAAAUCUUGUAUAAUACAUAGUAAAAAUCCUCUUGUUAAAAGCUUCUCUUUCUAAUGGAUGUUUGUUUAGAAUCUAAAAAUUACAAAGCCUUUGCUUUGAUAGAUUUAGAAGCCUCAACUUACUUUUUAGAUAAAGACUUUGUUA